CAGGUGUAGUUCAAUGGUAGAACCUCAGCCUUCCAAGCUGAUGACGCGGGUUCGAUUCCCGCUACCUG
Molecule: transfer RNA, 68 nt
Filed under: human gut metagenome
Also listed under: 3 other names
Rfam family: tRNA
About the family: Transfer RNA (tRNA) molecules are approximately 80 nucleotides in length.
Source: RNAcentral